Molecule: long non-coding RNA, 351 nt
Filed under: Physcomitrium patens
Lineage: Eukaryota; Viridiplantae; Streptophyta; Bryopsida; Funariales; Funariaceae
Description: long non-coding RNA (PPAT_LNC005935)
Source: RNAcentral
UUGUAGUAGAGAGAUUUUGCCUCAAAAAAGUACUAAGCCUUUGGCUACCACAAAUUAUUCAAACAAGUCAUAAUUUUAUAAAAUACAAGUAUCAUUUAUAGUUUGUCUUUAAAAAAAAAAUGACAUCAAAUAUAGAAGUCUAGAAUGUAGAAGAGUUCUCAAGAUGUGACUAGAUUUCCUAAAAAUUAUUUUUAUUCUUAUAAGAACCUCUUCCAAAUAUAUAUCACUCAAUAAUUUUUAAUCUAACCAUCUAAUUGGAUUCAAAAUUCUUAACAAGUUAAUUUAUAUCCUUAAUUGCCUCUAUAUAACAAAUUAGCCAUAAAUUCAUUACAAGUUUUUAUAUAUUAUGUA